UAGGGAAUUUUCCACAAUGGGCGAAAGCCUGAUGGAGCAACGCCGCGUGCAGGAUGAAUGCCUUCGGGUUGUAAACUGCUUUUAUGUGCGAAGAAUAUGACGGUAACACAUGAAUAAGGGUCGGCUAACUACGUGCCAGCAGCCGCGGUCAUACGUAGGACCCAAGCGUUAUCCGGAAUUACUGGGCGUAAAGAGUUGCGUAGGUGGCAUAGUAAGUGUGACGUGAAAGCGUGCGGCUCAACCGCAUUAUUGCGUCGCAAACUACUAAGCUUGAGUAUGAGAGAGGUAGAUGGAAUUUCCAGUGUAGGAGUGAAAUCCGUAGAUAUUGGAAGGAACACCGAUGGCGUAGGCAGUCUACUGGCUCAUUACUGACACUAAGGCACGAAAGCGUGGGGAGCAAACG
RNAcentral lists this ribosomal RNA (403 nucleotides) under uncultured Candidatus Saccharibacteria bacterium. RNAcentral's name for it is "partial 16S ribosomal RNA". It matches the Rfam family "Bacterial small subunit ribosomal RNA", at positions 355 to 774 of the family's 1533-position model. Lineage: Bacteria; Candidatus Saccharimonadota. The record is from RNAcentral.